GUGGAGCAAAGUACGUAUAACGAGCGAUUCACGGACGUUGGCCAGGUACCGGUAGCCGACCUUCGUCCAAACUGAAACUUAAAGAAAUUGACGGAGAGGUAAACAGGGGUCUUCUCAGAGGCCGCUAAUCCUCUGGGGGAUCUCCAGUAGCCAUGCCUUAUCAAGACAUGGUGAAUACGUCUCUGCCUCUUGUACACACCGCCCGUCGCUGUUUGAUUGCCAUCUGAUGGCAGACCUCAGAAGGCUUGCCGAGCUGCUCUGCAGUUAGGCG
RNAcentral lists this non-coding RNA (271 nucleotides) under Haemonchus placei. RNAcentral's name for it is "Eukaryotic small subunit ribosomal RNA". It matches the Rfam family "Eukaryotic small subunit ribosomal RNA", at positions 1118 to 1746 of the family's 1831-position model. Lineage: Eukaryota; Metazoa; Nematoda; Chromadorea; Rhabditida; Trichostrongylidae. The record is from Rfam by way of RNAcentral.